RNAcentral lists this ribosomal RNA (1400 nucleotides) under uncultured bacterium. Its description in RNAcentral is "partial 16S ribosomal RNA". It matches the Rfam family "Bacterial small subunit ribosomal RNA". The record is from RNAcentral.
AGAGUUUGAUCCUGGCGAAGGAUGAACGCUAGCGGCAGGCUUAACACAUGCAAGUCGAGGGGCAGCAUGUCCAGCAAUGGAUGAUGGCGACCGGCGGAAGGGUGCGUAACGCGAUUAGCAACAUGCCCUAUACAGGGAGAUACACCAGGGAAACUUGGUCUAAUAUCCCAUAGCAUUCAUUGAAGGCAUCUUUAAUGAAUUAAAGCUUCGGUGGGUAUAGGAUUGGCUCGCGUGACAUUAGCCAGAUGGUGAGGUAACGGCUCACCAUAGCAAUGAUGUCUAGGGGUUUUGAGAGGAAGGCCCCCCACACUGGGACUGACACACGGCCCAGACUCCUACGGGAGGCAGCAGUGAGGAAUAUUGGACAAUGGAUGGAAAUCUGAUCCAGCCAUGCCGCGUGCAGGAAGACGGCCUUAUGGGUUGUAAACUGCUUUUAUACGGGAGCAAUAAGGGUUACGAGUAAUCCGAUGAGAGUACUGUAUGAAUAAGGAUCGGCUAACUCCGUGCCAGCAGCCGCGGUAAUACGGAGGAUCCGAGCGUUAUCCGGAAUUAUUGGGUUUAAAGGGUGAGUAGGCGGUAGUAUAAGUCAGCGGUGAAAACUUGCAGCUCAACUGUAAGCUUGCCGUUGAAACUGUAUUACUUGAGUUAAGUUGAGGUAUGCGGAAUGUGGUGUGUAGCGGUGAAAUGCAUAGAUAUCACUCAGAACACCGAUUGCGAAGGCAUCUCGCGAGGGGUCAAUUGACGCUGAGGCACGAAAGCGUGGGGAUCGAACAGGAUUAGAUCCCCUGGUAGUCCACGCAGUAAACGAUGAUGGCUAACUGUCGGGCCUGCGGGUUCGGCGGCCAAGCGAAAGCGAUAAGCCAUCCACCUGGGGAGUACGACCGCAAGGUUGAAACUCAAAGGAAUUGACGGGGGCCCGCACAAGCGGAGGAACAUGUGGUUUAAUUUGAUGAUACGCGAGGAACCUUACCUGGGUUUGACAUAUACUGGAAUGUUAUAGAGAUAUAGCAGCGUAGCAAUACACCGGUAUACAGGUGCUGCAUGGCUGUCGUCAGCUCGUGCCGUGAGGUGUUGGGUUAAGUCCCGCAACGAGCGCAACCCCUCCUGCCAGUUACUAACAGGUUAUGCUGAGGACUCUGGCGGAACUGCCGGUGACAAACCGGAGGAAGGUGGGGAGGACGUCAAGUCAUCAUGGCCCUCAUGUCCAGGGCUACACACGUGCUACAAUGGCCGGCACAGAGCGAUGCAACACCGCGAGGGUAUAGCAAAGCGCAAAAAACCGGCCGUAGUUCGGAUUGAAGUCUGAAACUCGACUUCAUGAAGGUGGAAUCGCUAGUAAUCGCGCAUCAGCCAUGGCGCGGUGAAUACGUUCCCGGGCCUUGUACACACCGCCCGUCAAG